This 225-nucleotide ribosomal RNA is filed under the name uncultured bacterium. Its description in RNAcentral is "partial 16S ribosomal RNA". It matches the Rfam family "Bacterial small subunit ribosomal RNA", at positions 118 to 345 of the family's 1533-position model. The record is from RNAcentral.
UGAGCAAUCUGCCCUUCUCUUUGGAAUAAGCGUUGGAAACGACGUCUAAUGCCGAAUACGACCUCCUUUCGCAUGAUCGGAGGUGGAAAGCUCCGGCGGAGAAGGAUGAGCUCGCGGCCUAUCAGCUAGUUGGUGUGGGUAAUGGCCCACCAAGGCGACGACGGGUAGCCGGCUGAGAGGGCGAUCGGCCACACUGGGACUGAGACACGGCCAGACUCCUACGGG